Molecule: unclassified non-coding RNA, 278 nt
Filed under: Hevea brasiliensis (rubber tree)
Lineage: Eukaryota; Viridiplantae; Streptophyta; Magnoliopsida; Malpighiales; Euphorbiaceae
Source: RNAcentral
GGGUGGAGGAAUUCGCUGCCGCCGCUGUGCAGAGGAAGAGGAGGCUGCAGGUGGAGCUCGACUACUACCCGGAUAAUGUCUUAUUUGAUAGCGGCAGGCCGGAGAUUGGGCAGGUGUUCAGCGAUAAGCUGAGGCUGGAGCUCUGCCCGGCUAUGUCGGGGAACAAUUUGGUGUCUCCUAGCACGCAGAGCUCGAACGAGGAUGCAAGGAGCCCCAGCACAGGCCCAGGCCUAGCUAUACUGCCGGAGUCGCUGGAGCUCUCUGACACUGGAGCAUCC